GUCAUUGGUGUGGUUUCACAUGAAUCCACUAUUCAACUCAGUAGAGCAUUCAUAAAUGCCUUGUGGAAACUCUGAAGCCACCCAACAACACACUUUGAGGUUAUCUUGAUUGCUCUAGGGGAAGCCAGCUGGCAUGGGAAGUAGUGCAGUGGAGAAAUGCACAUGGCCAGAGACUAAGACCAAUCAUUUGAAUGAGUUUGGAAGCAUCCUACCCACCACUGCCACCAGUCAAGUCUUCAGAUGAGACUGCAGCCAUAGCCAACAGCUUGACUGCAACCUCCCAAAAACCUUGAUGCAGAUUCACACAACAUUGGACUUCUGACCCAUAGACAAUAUUAUAUAAUAAAUGUUUGUCU
RNAcentral lists this long non-coding RNA (356 nucleotides) under Homo sapiens (human). RNAcentral's name for it is "non-protein coding lnc-ZWINT-5:2". The record is from RNAcentral. Lineage: Eukaryota; Metazoa; Chordata; Mammalia; Primates; Hominidae.